RNAcentral lists this long non-coding RNA (463 nucleotides) under Gallus gallus (chicken). RNAcentral's name for it is "long non-coding RNA NONGGAT001346". The record is from RNAcentral. Lineage: Eukaryota; Metazoa; Chordata; Aves; Galliformes; Phasianidae.
GCUAAAAAUGAGGUAAUACCUAAUGCCACAGAGGGAUGCUGCAAGGGCUGCAGAGAGGAGUCUCACCAGAGAGCUGAAGGACAGCCGCUGCCCAGUGGUUGCCCACCCUCCUUCCGUGCAGCCCCCCCACUGUUGCUCAGUGCCUCCCUGCAGUGCCCAUACCACACUUCCCUGUGUGCUUUCAGCAAGGCAUGUUGUGCACACAUGCACUUCUCCUCUUGCAUACCCAUAUCCUCACCGGUGUUACGGCCUUCAUAACCCUUUCUUCCUCCAUACCUUUCUACAAUGUGCACAUCUGCAUUAAAGCACACUCUGCUCACUGCCUUAGGAGAGAUAACCUCCAAGGUUACUUGCAGCCAAGGCUGCAAAACAGCACUCUAGACAUUGCCUCUUUCCUCUGAUUAUUCCCAAAGCAGUGUAUGGAUGAGACUACAAGCAGGAUGGGGGGCAUGGGAGGUACCCA